AACGAACGCUGGCGGCAUGCCUAACACAUGCAAGUCGAACGAUGCCUUCGGGCAUAGUGGCGCACGGGUGCGUAACGCGUGGGAAUCUGCCUUUCGGUUCGGAAUAACUCAGGGAAACUUGAGCUAAUACCGGAUAACGUCGCAAGACCAAAGAUUUAUCACCGAAAGAUGAGCCCGCGUAGGAUUAGCUAGUUGGUGAGGUAAAGGCUCACCAAGGCGACGAUCCUUAGCUGGUCUGAGAGGAUGAUCAGCCACACUGGGACUGAGACACGGCCCAGACUCCUACGGGGGGCAGCAGUGGGGAAUAUUGGACAAUGGGCGAAAGCCUGAUCCAGCAAUGCCGCGUGAGUGAUGAAGGCCUUAGGGUUGUAAAGCUCUUUUACCCGGGAAGAUAAUGACGGUACCGGGAGAAUAAGCCCCGGCUAACUCCGUG
This 433-nucleotide ribosomal RNA is filed under the name uncultured bacterium. Its description in RNAcentral is "partial 16S ribosomal RNA". It matches the Rfam family "Bacterial small subunit ribosomal RNA", at positions 29 to 507 of the family's 1533-position model. The record is from RNAcentral.